UACGUAGGGUGCGAGCGUUAAUCGGAAUUACUGGGCGUAAAGCGUGCGCAGGCGGUUUUGUAAGACAGGUGUGAAAUCCCCGGGCUUAACCUGGGAACUGCGCUUGUGACUGCAAGACUCGAGUACGGCAGAGGGGGGUAGAAUUCCACGUGUAGCAGUGAAAUGCGUAGAGAUGUGGAGGAAUACCGAUGGCGAAGGCAGCCCCCUGGGAUAACACUGACGCUCAUGCACGAAAGCGUGGGGAGCAAACAGG
Molecule: ribosomal RNA, 253 nt
Filed under: uncultured bacterium
Lineage: Bacteria
Description: partial 16S ribosomal RNA
Rfam family: Bacterial small subunit ribosomal RNA
Source: RNAcentral